ACGCCGAUGGUGAAACGGUUAUCAUGCUUGCCUUCCAUCUGCAAGAUAUUUUUAGUCAUUUGAGCAAGCGGUAGGGGUUCGACUCCCCUUCGGCGUA
Desarmillaria tabescens is the source of this 97-nucleotide non-coding RNA. The record is from the annotation of a RefSeq genome assembly. NCBI's taxonomy places the organism in Eukaryota, Fungi, Basidiomycota, Agaricomycetes, Agaricales, Physalacriaceae.